AUCGCUUCUCUGCCUUUUGGCUAAGAUCAAGUGUAGUAACACUAUUUUAUAUAGAUGCAUAGUGUUUCAAAAUAUGAACUAUAUUAUCCAUU
Molecule: small nuclear RNA, 92 nt
Gene: U2
Rfam family: U2 spliceosomal RNA
About the family: U2 is a small nuclear RNA (snRNA) component of the spliceosome (involved in pre-mRNA splicing). Complementary binding between U2 snRNA (in an area lying towards the 5' end but 3' to hairpin I) and the branchpoint sequence (BPS) of the intron results the bulging out of an unpaired adenosine, on the BPS, which initiates a nucleophilic attack at the intronic 5' splice site, thus starting the first of two transesterification reactions that mediate splicing.
Source: Ensembl